RNAcentral lists this transfer RNA (76 nucleotides) under Salmonella enterica subsp. enterica serovar Newport. Its description in RNAcentral is "tRNA-Met". It matches the Rfam family "tRNA". From Rfam's summary of the family: Transfer RNA (tRNA) molecules are approximately 80 nucleotides in length. Their secondary structure includes four short double-helical elements and three loops (D, anti-codon, and T loops). Lineage: Bacteria; Pseudomonadati; Pseudomonadota; Gammaproteobacteria; Enterobacterales; Enterobacteriaceae. The record is from RNAcentral.
GGCCCUUUAGUUCAGUGGUCAGAACAGACGGCUCAUAACCGUUUUGUUGCUGGUUCAAACCCAGCAAGGGCCUCCA